UGGGGGAGCGAGCUUGCUCGCGAUGGCGGCAUGGCAGUCACUUUGAUGCUAUCUGUCACAAGGCUAUCGCGAGCAAGCUCGCUCCCACA
This 89-nucleotide unclassified non-coding RNA is filed under the name Pseudomonas sp. 7SR1. The record is from RNAcentral. Lineage: Bacteria; Pseudomonadati; Pseudomonadota; Gammaproteobacteria; Pseudomonadales; Pseudomonadaceae.